Molecule: ribosomal RNA, 417 nt
Filed under: uncultured Glomeromycotina
Lineage: Eukaryota; Fungi; Glomeromycota
Description: SSU rRNA
Rfam family: Eukaryotic small subunit ribosomal RNA
Source: RNAcentral
GUACUGGCAUUGUUGGUUUCUCCCUUCUGACGAACCAUGAUGUCAUUUAUUUGGUGUUGUGGGGAAUCAGGACUGUUACUUUGAAAAAAUUAGAGUGUUUAAAGCAGGCUCACGCUUGAAUACAUUAGCAUGGAAUAAUGAAAUAGGACGUUUGAUUCUAUUUUGUUGGUUUCUAGGAUCGACGUAAUGAUUAAUAGGGAUAGUUGGGGGCAUUAGUAUUCAAUUGUCAGAGGUGAAAUUCUUGGAUUUAUUGAAGACUAACUACUGCGAAAGCAUUUGCCAAGGAUGUUUUCAUUAAUCAAGAACGAAAGUUAGGGGAUCGAAGACGAUCAGAUACCGUCGUAGUCUUAACCAUAAACUAUGCCGACUAGGGAUCGGAUGAUGUUAAUUUUUUAAUGACUCAUUCGGCGCCUUACG